UACGGGGGGGGCAAGCGUUGUUCGGAAUUACUGGGCGUAAAGGGCUCGUAGGCGGCCAACUAAGUCAGACGUGAAAUCCCUCAGCUUAACUGGGGAACUGCGUCUGAUACUGGAUGGCUUGGAUCCGGGAGAGGGAUGCGGAAUUCCAGGUGUAGCGGUGAAAUGCGUAGAUAUCUGGAGGAACACCGGUGGCGAAGGCGGCAUCCUGGACCGGUAUUGACGCUGAUGCGCGAAAGCCAGGGGAGCAAACGGG
This 253-nucleotide ribosomal RNA is filed under the name uncultured bacterium. RNAcentral's name for it is "partial 16S ribosomal RNA". It matches the Rfam family "Bacterial small subunit ribosomal RNA", at positions 524 to 776 of the family's 1533-position model. The record is from RNAcentral.